UAAAUGAGGAUCCUAGCAU
This 19-nucleotide non-coding RNA is filed under the name Arabidopsis thaliana (thale cress). The record is from RNAcentral. Lineage: Eukaryota; Viridiplantae; Streptophyta; Magnoliopsida; Brassicales; Brassicaceae.